CUUGUUGUAGUAUCAUAAGGAAGAAUAAAUUGUCAGUUUCUUUUUCUUGUGUGAUGGUUUUGAUUGCUGGAGUCUUUUUUAGUAGUUCAUGCUAUUGUGGAUUUUAUUCAUGCACUGCAGCAAUAACAUUUAGAAUAUUUUUUUUGCUUGAAAUUGGUCUGUUAUUAUAAGCACUAUGAAUUGCUUUUGUAUAUAUUCUCACUGCCUUUACUUCUCACAUUUGCCACUGUUAAUAGAAUGUUGUGGACGUCCAUGAUAGUUUAGCUGCUGAAGUUGAACAUGGUGAUGCUUCCAGAAAGGAAAGGUCCUCAGUUCAAGGUGUAGAACAGUAACUAGAAUGACAGGUGAACUUCAUUGGAUUCAAUAGUCAUUACGUUAUGAGGAUGAUGAAGAAUGUACUUAUCAAUGCCCCUCAUAUCAAGAAUUUCUUGUCGAAACAGUUCACCUCCGACAAACCAUAUACUACUCAAGAAAUUGACCAAGUUAGAGAAGAAUGGGCAAUGUCAUAUUUACAAUUGGUUAGAGCAAAAUGAAUGAUAUUAUAGCUAGCUAAUUACAAUACAUGUUUAGAAAUUUUAAAUUUAUUUCGUAAAAUUUUUUUGCCAUUUUUUUAGUAUUUUUUUUUCAAAAUUCUUUUGAUACAUAUUCGACAAUCAAAUGGAUAUAUAUUUUU
Humulus lupulus (European hop) is the source of this 673-nucleotide long non-coding RNA. RefSeq lists it as uncharacterized. NCBI's taxonomy places the organism in Eukaryota, Viridiplantae, Streptophyta, Magnoliopsida, Rosales, Cannabaceae. The record is from RefSeq and is a predicted model, not a curated record. The transcript is spliced from 3 exons.